AACUCACUAUACUGUGGCAGCACUAGUAAAGCUUUAUGUAUAAAGGUUAUGUUUUCAACGUAAUUGUAAAGAAAAGUUUUAUUAAAUUUGAAUUUAUUUUUAGAAUUUAAAUAUUCAAAAUGAUUGAAAAAUUUACACCAGGAAAUGUAUUAUUAACAUCUAUAUUUGUUUUUUGGACAUACUCAAUAUAUUUUGAACCUCGGAAAUAUCGUUUGUACGGUUUCUUUACGGACCCUCAGCUCUCUUAUGCUCGUCAGAUAGAAUUGAAACACUUGGGUAAAGUAUACGAACCAGGGGAACACUUAACUAGAAGUAUGUAUGAAAAAAAAUGAAACAAAGAUUUUAUAUUGUUUAAAAUACAUGUAUAAUAUUAAUAUAAUAUAUAUAAUAUAUAUACAUGUCAAUCAAUAUUAUUGUAGUUAAAAUAAGAUUUAAUAAAAUACAUGAAAAAUAUA
Long non-coding RNA from Apis mellifera (honey bee), 455 nucleotides. RefSeq lists it as uncharacterized. The record is from RefSeq and is a predicted model, not a curated record. The transcript is spliced from 2 exons. NCBI's taxonomy places the organism in Eukaryota, Metazoa, Arthropoda, Insecta, Hymenoptera, Apidae.